AGAGACAGAAAUUCACUCUUUUAAUGUUCAAAAGCCAUAAACCCCCUUCACUUUCCUAAUCCUAAUUUCUUUCACCGCUAAAGCCUUCCACGAGAAGCACCUCCAUCCAUUACCGUUGGACCCAAUCUCCUCCUCCAAGAAGUCUUCAGAUUUUAUCAUGUUGGAGUAGCCGUGGACGUCGUGAAGCCAGAAUCCAUCAGUGUCGUCCAACUGUGUCCACCCGUCAAGCAGCUGCGUCGUGAGGUGCUACUAUCUUAUCGUCGAUAACCUUCCUCCCGCUGCCGUAUAAGUGAUACCCUUGGUGGUAUCCAGUUUAUUAAGAUGCUCAGGAUAGGACGUUACAUGAAGAAAUCAAAGUUAGACACAGCAUGUCAGCAACUUGUUUGCUGCAUCGGAGGCUCGGAAGUGCAAGGGACGCAAAACCACCGAAUUUUGGGAUGUUAAAACAAUUGAGUCUGAUGGGACAAUCAAGCAACUUCAUUUAAGUGUGAAGGAUGCUAUGAAGCCACCUAACGGUAGAAAGAUCGUACUCAGGUUCAACGAGAGACUGCAACCAGUUGGAAAUGAAGCUGGUAUUCUGAGCGGCGUUUUGGGAUUGCUUGGAUCUGAAUACACCAAAUUCUCAAUCUGUGAGAAGGACUAGAGAAAGGUUUGCUCUAGGGACAAGAUCUAUAAUGAAUAUGUAAAGGAAUUAUUCCAUUUUGAAGAAGAUAGUGGAGGAAUUAUCAAGCGUACAAUAUUAAAAAUGCUAGGAAGAGGUUGGAAGGACACGAGGAACAUGUUGUUUCAUGACUUUUACAAAUUAGAACUGACUCUUGAACAAAAUAUUAAAGGUCAUCCACUGGGAGUUACUGCGGAUCAUUGGAGAUGGUACCUUGAUAUCGCAACAAUGAAGAAACAAAGGAGAAGUGUAGGAAAAAUGCUGUGAAUCGAUCGAAGCAGUUAUACACUCACACUGGCAGAUCAAAAAGCUUGGCAAGGCUCGAAGAAGAACAGGUAAUUUAUGAUUGAGUCACUUUUUGAACCUUCUCUAUGUAUACCUAUUCACUAUUUAAGCUAUAUUGUUGCAAUCGGAACGACAAUGGCGUCUAGUUGGUAGAGGAGAGUUGUUUGUCUUAACGCACAAAUGAUCUAAUGGCUCCUAUCUCUAUGAUGUAGCUCGGGCUAUUGGUGAAAGAAUUACGGAGAUUGAGCAACAUGAUGAAUCACCUAGACUGUUGUCUCAGGAUGAUUCUCUUGCUCAAGCUCUUGAAAAGAAGCACCAGGAUAGUGUGUGUUGCAUGGGUAUCAGACUGACUACUAGUCAAGUGUUCGGUACGAAUUCACAUCAGCCGAGCAUUGGAACUCAAAGGAAGGAGACCCAAAUGGUGUUGCUUGAACUACAAGGAGAGUUGGCGGCUGAGAAAUUAAAAUGGCAGGAAAUGGAGGAUGAAGUAGCAGCCGAGAAGACGAAAGGGCAGGCAAUAGAGAGUGCUCUAAAAUAUUUAGUUCAAGGGCAAGGUGGGGAGCUGCCACCAGAUGUGGCUGCAUGGAUGAAUUCAUUUGAAGGACAGAGUAGAAAGUAGAACCUAGGAUUUGAAAUUUAUUCUUUAAGUUAAAUAUAUACUUUUUUAUUGUUGACUAUAAAACUCUUAGUAAGGAAUACACUUUAUUGAUAUUUGGAUUAAUAUGAGUAUUAUUAUCAGUUUUGCUAA
Molecule: non-coding RNA, 1694 nt
Organism: Arachis ipaensis
Lineage: Eukaryota; Viridiplantae; Streptophyta; Magnoliopsida; Fabales; Fabaceae
Source: RefSeq, a predicted model, not a curated record